UACAGAGGUCUCAAGCGUUGUUCGGAUUCAUUGGGCGUAAAGGGUGUGUAGGUGGCGCGCUAAGUCGGGUGUGAAAUUUCGGAGCUUAACUCCGAAACUGCAUUCGAUACUGGCGUGCUUGACGACUGGAGAGGAGACUGGAAUUCAUGGUGUAGCAGUGAAAUGCGUAGAGAUCAUGAGGAAGACCAGUGGCGAAGGCGGGUCUCUGGACAGUUCCUGACACUGAGACACGAAGGCCAGGGGAGCAAACGGG
RNAcentral lists this ribosomal RNA (253 nucleotides) under uncultured bacterium. RNAcentral describes it as "partial 16S ribosomal RNA". It matches the Rfam family "Bacterial small subunit ribosomal RNA", at positions 524 to 776 of the family's 1533-position model. The record is from RNAcentral.